UGAAUCAACAUUUUCUCGU
This 19-nucleotide small nuclear RNA is filed under the name Arabidopsis thaliana (thale cress). RNAcentral describes it as "snRNA_14708". Lineage: Eukaryota; Viridiplantae; Streptophyta; Magnoliopsida; Brassicales; Brassicaceae. The record is from RNAcentral.